UUUUAAACAGAGCACUGGAACGGGUCUGUUGAUUUUCAGAAAAUAAAGGGUAUUUAAAAUAUUUUUGCACAAUGAAUAUCUUCCAGUUGCCCUUUUAAUACUAUGAAGUUGCUUUUAUCCUGAAAAACAGUUGACUCUCGUGUUCUGUGGUUAGAUUAAAUCACUUAAGUAAUUAAAGUUAUACUACAGAAAACAAGUACAGUAUGAAUUGAGGUUGACAAAAUUAGACAAAACAAGAGAAUAAUUAGCAUCUAUAAUGCACUAGAGAACCAUGAAUCAAUUAAGGCAAGACAUGAAAUAUAUACAGACUGUAUUUUCCCCAUCUCCAACUUUAUUUACUUGAGUCACAGCCCCAAUGCCUUGUGAAUAGUUCACACUGACUAGUGAAACAGAGUUCUCUAAUAUUUACUGGCUAUAUAUCAGUCCUGUAGGGUAUUAACUGUCAGCUACCAAUAUAGUGAUUAUGUGUCACAUUUGCAAAAAUAUGUCUCAGGGUGUUCCAUACCUAAUCAUCUCAUUAUUACCUCUUUUCCCUCAUUUUUAUUUUUAUUUUAUUUUAUUAUUUAAUUUUCUCAUUAUCUCAUCACUUUCAAAUGAAUCUUACUGAGCAAACUGCUAUUUUAACUGGAACACUGAAGCUUUCCAAGUCAGAGCUUUUCUCAGUUCUUCAGUACUAAUUAUGUUCUCCUACAAUGUUAACAGUUCAAAAACUAAAAACUAAAUGAACCUGGUAGUAAAUGCCCACUCUGUGUUGUCAGAUUAUCAAGAAACUAAGCAUCAAAGGAAAUACUAGACAGUAUAGUCAAUUACACUGGGCUUUCUUUAAUUUAACAGAAAAAUACUGAAGGAUGUCAAAGCAAAACAUUAGACAUAUUUUUCACAAUACAUUAUUCAUACAGGCAAUAAUUUUACCCUUCAAAGCAGUAUUGGAUCAUGCCCAACUUUUAUUUACCCUUGGCCAAAUUAUAACUUUUACUAUCAUCCCUUGCAUGGCUGCAUCCGUUGAAAUGACAUAUUUAUAUUAUUACUAUUAUAGGAAAAGCCCACUUGUGGCAGGUGAAGUAAACUAGGCAUUAAUACAUUCACUUACAAGGGAGGGAUAUAUUUGAAUCAUCACCAAAGAGGGUUCUCAGUAAGAUAUUUCAGCAAUCCUUUAUGGUAUGGUAUAAGAAAUAAAAUAAAUUGUAAAUGUAGCUUAACUGUUCUUUAUUUUUUC
Non-coding RNA from Pseudonaja textilis, 1216 nucleotides. The record is from RefSeq and is a predicted model, not a curated record. Lineage: Eukaryota; Metazoa; Chordata; Lepidosauria; Squamata; Elapidae.